This 231-nucleotide unclassified non-coding RNA is filed under the name plant metagenome. RNAcentral describes it as "partial contains small subunit ribosomal RNA, internal transcribed spacer 1, and 5.8S ribosomal RNA". The record is from RNAcentral.
UCUCCGUUGGUGAACCAGCGGAGGGAUCAUUACAGAGUUGCAAAACUCCCAAACCAUUGUGAACGUUACCUAUCCCGUUGCUUCGGCGGGCGGCCCGGGCCCCGCGCCCGGCGCCCCCCGGCCCCCCGUGGGCGCCCGCCGGAGGUAAACCAAACCCUUAAAUUUCAUGGCCUCUCUGAGUCUUCUGUACUGAAUCAGUCAAAACUUUCAACAACGGAUCUCUUGGUUCUG